CCCUUAGAUGUUCUGGGCCGCACGCGCGCUACACUGACAGAGCCAACGAGUUCUUCACCUUGGCCGGAAGGUCUGGGUAAUCUUGUUAAACUCUGUCGUGCUGGGGAUAGAGCAUUGCAAUUAUUGCUCUUCAACGAGGAAUGCCUAGUAAGCGCGUGUCAUCAGCACGCGUUGAUUACGUCCCUGCCCUUUGUACACACCGCCCGUCGCUACUACCGAUUGAAUGGCUCAGUGAGGCCUUCGGACUGGCUCAGGGAGGUUGGCAACGACCACCCCGAGCCGGAAAGUUCGUCAAACUCGGUCAUUUAGAGGAAGUAAAAGUCGUAACA
This 329-nucleotide ribosomal RNA is filed under the name uncultured eukaryote. RNAcentral describes it as "partial 18S ribosomal RNA". It matches the Rfam family "Eukaryotic small subunit ribosomal RNA", at positions 1470 to 1796 of the family's 1831-position model. The record is from RNAcentral.